AUUGAACGCUGGCGGAAUGCUUUACACAUGCAAGUCGAACGGUAGAGGGGGGCAACCCCUUGAGAGUGGCGAACGGGUGAGUAAUAUAUCGGAACGUGCCCAGUCGUGGGGAUAACGUAGCGAAAGCUACGCUAAUACCGCAUACGAUCUACGGAUGAAAGCGGGGGAUCGCAAGACCUCGCGCGAUUGGAGCGGCCGAUAUCAGAUUAGGUAGUUGGUGAGGUAAAGGCUCACCAAGCCGACGAUCUGUAGCUGGUCUGAGAGGACGACCAGCACACU
RNAcentral lists this ribosomal RNA (279 nucleotides) under uncultured bacterium. RNAcentral's name for it is "partial 16S ribosomal RNA". It matches the Rfam family "Bacterial small subunit ribosomal RNA", at positions 30 to 314 of the family's 1533-position model. The record is from RNAcentral.